Molecule: small RNA, 27 nt
Filed under: Bombyx mori (domestic silkworm)
Lineage: Eukaryota; Metazoa; Arthropoda; Insecta; Lepidoptera; Bombycidae
Description: ovarian small RNA-24221
Source: RNAcentral
UAUUGAUGGCACAUGAAUUCCGAUGAC